GAUGAACGCUAGCGAUAGGCUUAACACAUGCAAGUCGAGGGGCAGCAUUAUUUUAGCUUGCUAAGAUAGAUGGCGACCGGCGCACGGGUGCGUAACGCGUAUGCAACCUGCCUGUAAUUAGGGAAUAACCCGGUGAAAGUCGGACUAAUACCCUAUAUUCUUCUUUCUCCGCAUGGGGAAGGACGGAAAGAUUUAUUGAUUACAGAUGGGCAUGCGUCCCAUUAGCUUGUUGGUAAGGUAACGGCUUACCAAGGCAACGAUGGGUAGGGGGACUGAGAGGUUGACCCCCCACACUGGUACUGAGACACGGACCAGACUCCUACGGGAGGCAGCAGUGAGGAAUAUUGGUCAAUGGGCGAGAGCCUGAACCAGCCAAGUCGCGUGAAGGACGACGGUUCUAUGGAUUGUAAACUUCUUUUGUAGAGGAAUAAAUGGCAAGGCUACGUGUAAGGCUGAAGGGGCCA
RNAcentral lists this ribosomal RNA (464 nucleotides) under Porphyromonas endodontalis. RNAcentral describes it as "bacterial SSU rRNA". It matches the Rfam family "Bacterial small subunit ribosomal RNA", at positions 28 to 480 of the family's 1533-position model. Lineage: Bacteria; Pseudomonadati; Bacteroidota; Bacteroidia; Bacteroidales; Porphyromonadaceae. The record is from RNAcentral.